UACGGGGGGGGCAAGCGUUGUUCGGAAUUACUGGGCGUAAAGGGCUCGUAGGCGGCCAACUAAGUCAGACGUGAAAUCCCUCGGCUUAACCGGGGAACUGCGUCUGAUACUGGAUGGCUAGAGGUUGGGAGAGGGAUGCGGAAUUCCAGGUGUAGCGGUGAAAUGCGUAGAUAUCUGGAGGAACACCGGUGGCGAAGGCGGCAUCCUGGACCAAUUCUGACGCUGAGGAGCGAAAGCUAGGGGAGCAAACGGG
RNAcentral lists this ribosomal RNA (253 nucleotides) under uncultured bacterium. RNAcentral's name for it is "partial 16S ribosomal RNA". It matches the Rfam family "Bacterial small subunit ribosomal RNA", at positions 524 to 776 of the family's 1533-position model. The record is from RNAcentral.